This 464-nucleotide ribosomal RNA is filed under the name uncultured bacterium. RNAcentral describes it as "partial 16S ribosomal RNA". It matches the Rfam family "Bacterial small subunit ribosomal RNA", at positions 339 to 795 of the family's 1533-position model. The record is from RNAcentral.
CUACGGGGGGCUGCAGUCGAGAAUCAUUCGCAAUGGGGGGAACCCUGACGAUGCGACGCCGUGUGGACGAAGAAGGCCUUCGGGUUGUAAAGUCCUUUCGCUUGGGAGCAAAGGAGCGAUAUGAACAAUGUAGCUCUAUGAGAGUACCAGGUAAAGAAGCACCGGCUAACUCCGUGCCAGCAGCUGCGGUAAUACGGAGGGUGCAAGCAUUAAUCGGAUUCAUUGGGCGUAAAGGGCGCGUAGGCGGCACAAUAAGUCAGUUGUGAAAUUCCAUAGCUCAACUAUGGACCUGCAAUUGAAACUGUAGUACUAGAGGUUAGGCGGAGAAAACGGAAUUCCACGUGUAGCGGUGAAAUGCGUAGAUAUGUGGAAGAACACCGGUGGCGAAGGCGGUUUUCUAGCUUAAUCCUGACGCUGAGGCGCGAAAGCGAGGGGAGCAAACAGGAUUAGAUACCCGGGUAGUC